UACGGAGGGUGCAAGCGUUGUUCGGAAUCACUGGGCGUAAAGCGCGUGUAGGCGGUCUCCUAAGUCUGGUGUGAAAGCCCGGGGCUCACCCCCGGAAGUGCACUGGAAACUGAGGGACUCGAGUACCGGAGAGGAGGGUGGAAUUCCUGGUGUAGCGGUGAAAUGCGUAGAUAUCAGGAGGAACACCGGUGGCGAAGGCGGCCCUCUGGACGGAUACUGGCGCUGAGACGCGAAAGCGUGGGGAGCAAACAGG
Molecule: ribosomal RNA, 253 nt
Filed under: uncultured bacterium
Lineage: Bacteria
Description: partial 16S ribosomal RNA
Rfam family: Bacterial small subunit ribosomal RNA
Source: RNAcentral